This 526-nucleotide ribosomal RNA is filed under the name uncultured Klebsiella sp. Its description in RNAcentral is "bacterial SSU rRNA". It matches the Rfam family "Bacterial small subunit ribosomal RNA", at positions 9 to 526 of the family's 1533-position model. Lineage: Bacteria; Pseudomonadati; Pseudomonadota; Gammaproteobacteria; Enterobacterales; Enterobacteriaceae. The record is from RNAcentral.
GAGUUUGAUCCUGGUUCAGAUUGAACGCUGGCGGCAGGCCUAACACAUGCAAGUCGAGCGGUAGCACAGAGAGCUUGCUCUCGGGUGACGAGCGGCGGACGGGUGAGUAAUGUCUGGGAAACUGCCUGAUGGAGGGGGAUAACUACUGGAAACGGUAGCUAAUACCGCAUAACGUCGCAAGACCAAAGUGGGGGACCUUCGGGCCUCAUGCCAUCAGAUGUGCCCAGAUGGGAUUAGCUAGUAGGUGGGGUAAUGGCUCACCUAGGCGACGAUCCCUAGCUGGUCUGAGAGGAUGACCAGCCACACUGGAACUGAGACACGGUCCAGACUCCUACGGGAGGCAGCAGUGGGGAAUAUUGCACAAUGGGCGCAAGCCUGAUGCAGCCAUGCCGCGUGUAUGAAGAAGGCCUUCGGGUUGUAAAGUACUUUCAGCGAGGAGGAAGGCAUUAAGGUUAAUAACCUUAGUGAUUGACGUUACUCGCAGAAGAAGCACCGGCUAACUCCGUGCCAGCAGCCGCGGUAAUAC